CCCUACAUGCUAGUCACUGUACUAAGUGCUUUAUAUGUAUUGUUACUUUUAAUCCACAUUAUACUCUUGUGAAGUGGUAGUGAAGAUCCAUGUCCCUGAAGGUAUUCAAGCCCAAAAACCAUCUGUUGGUAACAUUAUUGCCAGGCGCAUUGGCUCACACCUGUAAUCUCAGCAGUUUUGGGAGGCUGAGGAGAGUAGAUCACCUGAGCUCAGGAGUUUGAGAUCAGCUUAUAUAGAUGGGGAAACUCCCACCUCCCUAAGCUAAGAGGCGUUCUAUCACAGUGUGUAUUUUCAUCACGAGCACACAUUUUUAUUUACCUUUCCUCUUAUGAACUGUGGACUUCUUACAAGAUCUCAUUAGCAAUGUGGGCUUUCUCAUGUCCCUGUGGCUCCGUGGAUGUUCCCAAGCUUACUGGUUUUGGAGUCUUGCACAGCACUUUUGGAAGCCCAGUUGUGCAGGUGCAUGGAAGAAAUGUGAUGAAAUGAGUUGAAGCUCUCCCAAGGAGAAGAGAAGGCCCCCUGGAUGUUGUUGCUACUGCCUCCUUAACGUGAAGACAAUGAGGAUGAAGACUUUUAUGAUGAGCCACUUCCACUAAACGAAUAGCUGGAGUGCAGUGGUGCCCAGGCUGGAGUGCAGAUCAUGGCUCACUGCAGCCUCAACCUUCUGGGCUCAAGAGAUCCGCCACCUCAGCCUCUGGAGUAGCAGGGACUACAG
This is a long non-coding RNA of Homo sapiens (human), 715 nucleotides long. RefSeq lists it as uncharacterized. The record is from RefSeq and is a predicted model, not a curated record. The transcript is spliced from 4 exons. NCBI's taxonomy places the organism in Eukaryota, Metazoa, Chordata, Mammalia, Primates, Hominidae.